This 1411-nucleotide ribosomal RNA is filed under the name uncultured Alphaproteobacteria bacterium. RNAcentral's name for it is "uncultured alpha proteobacterium 16S ribosomal RNA". It matches the Rfam family "Bacterial small subunit ribosomal RNA". The record is from RNAcentral. Lineage: Bacteria; Pseudomonadati; Pseudomonadota; Alphaproteobacteria.
ACGCUGGCGGCACGCCUAACACAUGCAAGUCGAACGAAGUAGCAAUACUUAGUGGCAGACGGGUGAGUAACAUGUAGGUAUCUACCCUUUGGCCUGGAAUAACACGAGGAAACUUGUGCUAAUACCGGAUAAGUCUUUACGGAGAAAGCUUUAUGCACCAUUGGAUGAGCCUGCACUUGAUUAGUUUGUUGGUGGGGUAAUGGCCUACCAAGACUGUGAUCAAUAGCUGAUUUGAGAGGAUGAUCAGCCACAUUGGGACUGAGACACGGCCCAAACUCCUACGGGAGGCAGCAGUGGGGAAUCUUGCACAAUGGAGGAAACUCUGAUGCAGCGAUGCCGCGUGAGUGAAGAAGGCCUUUGGGUUGUAAAGCUCUUUCGUCGGGGAAGAAAAUGACUGUACCCGAAUAAGAAGGUCCGGCUAACUUCGUGCCAGCAGCCGCGGUAAUACGAAGGGACCUAGCGUAGUUCGGAAUUACUGGGCUUAAAGAGUUCGUAGGUGGUUGAAAAAGUUAGUGGUGAAAUCCCAGAGCUUAACUCUGGAACUGCCAUUAAAACUUUUCAGCUAGAGUAUGAUAGAGGAAAGCAGAAUUUCUAGUGUAGAGGUGAAAUUCGUAGAUAUUAGAAAGAAUACCAAUUGCGAAGGCAGCUUUCUGGAUCAUUACUGACACUGAGGAACGAAAGCAUGGGUAGCGAAGAGGAUUAGAUACCCUCGUAGUCCAUGCCGUAAACGAUGUGUGUUAGACGUUGGAAAUUUAUUUUCAGUGUCGCAGCGAAAGCGAUAAACACACCGCCUGGGGAGUACGACCGCAAGGUUAAAGCUCAAAUGAAUUGACGGGGACCCGCACAAGUAGUGGAGCAUGUGGUUUAAUUCGAAGAUACGCGCAGAACCUUACCAACACUUGACAUGUUCGUCGCGACUCUAAGAGAUUAGAGUUUUCGGUUCGGCCGGACGAAACACAGGUGCUGCAUGGCUGUCGUCAGCUCGUGUCGUGAGAUGUUGGGUUAAGUCCCGCAACGAGCGCAACCCUCACUUUUAGUUGCCAUCAUUUAGUUGGGCACUCUGAAAGAACUGCCAGUGAUAAGCUGGAGGAAGGUGGGGAUGACGUCAAGUCCUCAUGGCCCUUACGUGUUGGGCUACACACGUGCUAUAAUGGUAUCUACAACAGGAAGCAAGACUGCGAGGUCAAGCAAAUCCUUAAAAGAUACCUCAGUUCGGAUUGCACUCUGCAACUCGAGUGCAUGAAGCUGGAAUUACUAGUAAUCGUGGAUCAGCGUGCCACGGUGAAUGCGUUCCCGGGUCUUGUACACACCGCCCGUCACACCAUGGGAGUUGGUUCUACCUUAAGGCAAGGUUUAAAACCCUUGACCACGGUAUAGUCAGCGACUGGGGUGAAGUCGUAACAAGGUAACC